Molecule: ribosomal RNA, 1188 nt
Filed under: human metagenome
Description: bacterial LSU rRNA
Rfam family: Bacterial large subunit ribosomal RNA
Source: RNAcentral
UGUGGAUAGCGGUGAAAUUCCAAUCGAACUCGGAUAUAGCUGGUUCUCCUCGAAAUAGCUUUAGGGCUAGCCUCAAGGUAAAGAUACACGGGGGUAGAGCACUGACUGUUCGCGGGGCCUUCACCGGUUACCAACAACUAUCAAACUCCGAAUACCGUGCUAUCAUACUUGGGAGUCAGACUAUGAGAGAUAAGUUCCAUGGUCGAAAGGGAAACAGCCCAGAUCAACAGCUAAGGUCCCAAAGAGUAAGUUAAGUGGAAAAGGAUGUGGGAUUGCACAAACAGCUAGGAUGUUGGCUUAGAAGCAGCCAUACAUUUAAAGAGUGCGUAAUAGCUCACUAGUCGAGUGACUUUGCGCCGAAGAUAAACGGGGCUAAAACUUACUACCGAAGCUUUGGAAUUACGAAAGUAAUUGGUAGAGGAGCAUUGUAUAUAGGAAGAAGGGCAAGCGUAAGCGAACCUGGACAGUAUACAAGAGAGAAUGUUGGCAUGAGUAGCGCAAGGCAGGUGAGAAUCCUGCCCGCCGAAAAUCUAAGGAUUCCUGAGGAAGGUUCGUCCGCUCAGGGUAAGUCGGGACCUAAGCCAAGGACGAAAGUCGUAGGUGAUGGACAACUGGUUGAGAUUCCAGUACCACCAAAAUUUGAUUGAGUGAAGUGGGGACGCAGAAGGAAGAGCUGAGCACGCGGUUGGUAGAGCGUGUCCAAGUAUCAAGGGAGAAUAUAAAGGCAAAUCCGUAUAUUCAUAUUCUGAGGUACGAAGGGGAAGGAAAUAAAGUACUGAAGCAGCAUAAAUCACACUGCCAAGAAAAGCCGCUAGCGAGAAUUGAGGUGCCCGUACCGCAAACCGACACAGGUAGAUGAGGAGAGAAUCCUAAGGUGAGCGAGAGAACUAUUGUUAAGGAACUCGGCAAAAUAACCCCGUAACUUCGGGAGAAGGGGUGCCUGCUUCGGCAGGCCGCAGUGAAGAGGUCCAGGCAACUGUUUACCAAAAACACAGGUCUCUGCUAAAGCGAAAGCUGAUGUAUAGGGGCUGACGCCUGCCCGGUGCUGGAAGGUUAAGGGGAAGUGUUAGGGCAACCGAAGCACAGAACUUAAGCCCCAGUAAACGGCGGCCGUAACUAUAACGGUCCUAAGGUAGCGAAAUUCCUUGUCGGGUAAGUUCCGACCCGCACGAAAGGCGUAAUGAUUUG